GCUCAAGUAGCUUAACC
This 17-nucleotide transfer RNA is filed under the name Vipera berus (adder). RNAcentral describes it as "partial tRNA-Thr". Lineage: Eukaryota; Metazoa; Chordata; Lepidosauria; Squamata; Viperidae. The record is from RNAcentral.